CUACGGGUUGCAGCAGUAGGGAAUCUUAGACAAUGGGGGAAACCCUGAUCUAGCCAUGCCGCGUGAGUGAUGAAGGCCUUAGGGUUGUAAAGCUCUUUCGCUGGGGAAGAUAAUGACGGUACCCAGUAAAGAAACCCCGGCUAACUCCGUGCCAGCAGCCGCGGUAAUACGGAGGGGGUUAGCGUUGUUCGGAAUUACUGGGCGUAAAGCGCGCGUAGGCGGGCUAUUAAGUCAGGGGUGAAAUCCCGGGGCUCAACCCCGGAACUGCCUGUGAUACUGGUAGUCUUGAGUUCGAGAGAGGUGUGUGGAAUUCCGAGUGUAGAGGUGAAAUUCGUAGAUAUUCGGAGGAACAUCAGUGGCGAAGGCGACUCACUGGCUCGAUACUGACGCUGAGGUGCGAAAGUGUGGGGAGCAAACAGGAUUAGAUACCCCAGUAGUC
RNAcentral lists this ribosomal RNA (439 nucleotides) under uncultured bacterium. Its description in RNAcentral is "partial 16S ribosomal RNA". It matches the Rfam family "Bacterial small subunit ribosomal RNA", at positions 339 to 795 of the family's 1533-position model. The record is from RNAcentral.